Molecule: long non-coding RNA, 234 nt
Filed under: Elaeis guineensis (African oil palm)
Lineage: Eukaryota; Viridiplantae; Streptophyta; Magnoliopsida; Arecales; Arecaceae
Description: long non-coding RNA (EGUI_LNC043482)
Source: RNAcentral
CCCUCGUUCUCUAUUUUCCUUUUGUUUUAACCAAAGAACUAAUGGUAGCAGCAAGAGUGUUGCCUAGCUAUGCAACCCAAGAGGGGGGGGGGGGUUGAAUUGGGUUACUAAAAAUUUUAAGUGAGGAGUGAAACACAAAAAUUAUAUUAUGAAUGUAAUAUAUAAUGUGAGGAUAAAAGCAAAGGAUGUGCUAGAUACUAACACAAUUAAGUAAGAAAUUAAUGUAAGAAAGUA